This is a long non-coding RNA of Rosa chinensis, 6383 nucleotides long. RefSeq lists it as uncharacterized. The transcript has 4 exons. Lineage: Eukaryota; Viridiplantae; Streptophyta; Magnoliopsida; Rosales; Rosaceae. The record is from RefSeq and is a predicted model, not a curated record.
GUUUGGAUUAGCCAAGGAGGGACGCAUGAUACUUGCUCUCUUGAGCAUUACGUCGAACACGUUUCGGGCAUGAGCACGGCUGCUCGCGCGACCACACCUGAUGAUUUCCGAUCAACUCCGGUCGGCCAAAUUGAAUGCUGCAGGAAGUCUGUUCUUCUUUUUGGCACCGUUAAAUAUCUGGAUAUGACUCAACAUUGACAGUGAUGGACCUGAAGAUUCUUGAUCGGCAAACAAGAGAUCUGAUCAAAAUGCCUGGCAAAGUGGACGUACUGGACCCAUUGCUUGAGACAUAAGACAAACUGUAAAGUUUUGAUUGCUGAUAUGGAAGAAUAUGACCUAUACUCCACCCCCUACUGUAGAUUUUGUUUCCUUAACUUAAAACAGUCUGGUUAAGAGGCCCAGGGAAUGUACUUGAGGAAGAUCAAGGAGAAUAAUAUCUACAGUUUAUAAUCGCCAUCUCAUCAGGUCUUUAACAGUGCCAUCAUAUAUGGAUUACCCUUGUUUUGAGGCUUUCGUAGAUUCAGAGUUCUUUGAUUGAGUAGUUUGUCUGUUCACUUCACUUGCGCAAGAAGAAACCUUGUAUUGCUAAUGGUGCCCCUUUAAAUCACCAGGUAAAGAAUUCUUAGACACUUGAUGUAGUCUCAGGUCGUGGUAUUCUAGUGUGUUAAUUUAGUCCCAAAUGCCAAUUUUCUUAAUUUUAUAUUCUCUCUCAAUUGGAAUGAAUUACAGGACGUGUCAUCACAUAUGGUAUGGAUUAGCCUUGUUGUGAGGCUUUCGUAGAUUGAGAGUUAUUGAAUUGAGAGAUCACAAUUAUAGCCAUAGUUUUUAAAUCGUGUCAUCACUAUUAUAGCCAGGUUUAUAACUUAAUUGCCAUCAUAGGAUUAGCCUUGUUUUGAGGUUUUCCUACAUUGAGAUUUAUUUAAUAAAGUGUACUGUGUGUUCACUUCACUUGCACGAAAAGAAAUCUUUUAUUGCUAAUGGUGUCCCUUUAGAUCAUCUGGUAAAAAUUCCUAGAUAAUAUAGUCUUGGGUUGUGGUAUUCUAGUGUGUUAACUUAGUCCCAAAUAUCAGUCUCUCAGUUGAACUGAAUUCCAGAAUAUGCCAUUUUGCUACUACAUUGUCUAUGUUCCCGCUUUUUUAUUGGUUGUGUAAUAUGAUACCCACAGGUUUGUCGACUACUUAUUUUGAUGUUUGUUGGACUGUUUAGUUAUUCUUUCUUUUGAGAUCUAGUGUUACAAGCCAAUACAAGUUCACUCAAAAGAUCGGUAGAACUGUUGGACUGUUUACAGUACUACAGAAGUUGAGAGUGGAAGACUUGGAUUUCAUAGUCGAUUGGUGUAACUUAAUAUAUUUACCUUAUUAAGUGAGUGGAGGUGAAUAAUUAAAUAGAAAAACAGAGCUUGUUGGCCUUCGUUGUUGGAUAGCGUAAUGUUGGUCUUCAUCAUCUCAUCCUAAUAUUGGCCUUCAUUUUUGGAUAUGUACGUAAAGCGAACAAAUUUUUAAAUUUUAGUGUUUUGUAAAGAAAUGUAGUUUAUUCAUGUGCACAAUCAUAGAAUUCAUUUGCAGGUAUAUUGUUGUUAGUGAUGGCGUCUUGGAGACCUUAGAGUCCAGGGAUUGGUAUUGUGAAUGGGAAGCUGGAUUUAUAUGUUGCUGCCACCAAAAAGAACCCCCAAAGGGUAAUUCUUUAUUAUUUGAUGUUUCUUUAUUCAAUUAGGUGGUUUGACUUGUUUAUUUCAACAUAUGCAUCCUAUAAGUGCAGUACGAUCUUAUGUAAUGUUUGUGAAACUUGCAUUAUGGUGCAAACCAAUUUUAAACAACAGUGAUGCUUGUAUGUUUCAGAUAACUUAUUCUGGGUAAACCUUAUUCUGUCAAACGUUUGAUCUGUUAAUCUUGGGACCCCCCUUAUUUAGUGUAGUGUGCUGAAAUUGAAAUCGGUAUCCGGCAUUCUUAGCAUGCUAAGAUUUCAAAAAUUAGAAAAUUGGAUUCUAAAAUUAGAAGAUUGGAUUGAUCCCCUGUAUUAUUGAAGUUUUCAGCAGUAAAUGGAACACAGGAACAAGAUUGAGGUGCACUUUGGGACUCACACAUGACUAAAACAUUUUCAUCCAUUCUGCCACAUUUGCCAGUGUUUAGUCUCAGACCCGGCCAGCCAGUUUUCUAUGUAAUUCAAAACUAUUAGAGGUGUUUUGGUCUUUGAUUUAAUGGAAAUUAUCAUCUCUUACAUCUUACUCUUGAAGAAAAUUUGUUUCCCUCCCAUUUAACUAUAAUACCUUUGAGAAUCUGUAAAAAAAGUAGAGGGGUGAUAACAGGAUGUGGCUACAGGAUAAACUUGUGAAUAUCACCCUCUACAUACUCUACCUCUCUUUGGGAUGUUUCGUGAUUUAAUGAUUGCCCACCAAGCUGGGAUUGUGGAUUUUAUUAUUGAAUAUGAUUCUAGUGCCCUGGUGGAGUUGGUCUCGAAACUUAUAAGCGAGUCUCACCUCUAUAUACCUUAAUCAAUGGCGGCAGGUCCCUGUUGUCUGCUGAUUGGAAUUGUCACUUGGUUCAUGUUUAUCAAGAGCCCCAUAUUCUUCAGGAUCCCCAUUGUCUAUCCCAGGGUUACUUGCUGGUGCUUCUGCUGGUGCCUCCCAAGUGUAGAGAUUUAUUUUUAUUUUUAAUCUGUUGUGUUUGGGUCUUUUACCCUCUUUGUACUAAGAAACAAAAAAGUAAGGUAAAGUCUACAGUCCAAGUCUUGUUUAAUUUAUUAUUGAAACAUUCCAAUCAUUGUUAACUGAAACAGCCUGAAUCCUUUCUAGUUAAUGGUUUGGGCUAAACUAGGAAGUAUUAAUGAUUUAGAAAAUUGGUUUGGAUUAGCCUAGGAGGGACACAUGAUACUUGCUCUCUUGAGCAUUACGUCGAACACGUUUCGGGCAUGAGCACGGCUGCUCGCGCGACCACACCUGAUGAUUUCCGAUCAACUCCGGUCGACCAAAUUGAAUGCUGCAGGAAGUCUCAUCUUCUUUUUGGCACCGUUAAAUAUCUGGAUAUGACUCGACAUUGACAGUGAUGGACCUGAAGAUUCUUGAUCGGCAAACAAGAGAUCUGAUCAAAUGCCUGGCAAAGUGGACGUACUGGACCCAUUGCUUGAGACAUAAGACAAACUGUAAAGUAAGUUACAGACUUCAAUGCUUAUCUAUCUAUGUUGAGGUGUGUAAUUAUUGAAAACUUAGAGUGUAGUAUUUAUAUCUGUUAGGUGAUAUUUUGAUACAUUUACUAACAUGGGCAAUCUUGGAUGUUGAUCUUGACACAUAACCAAUGAGAAAAUAUUAGAGGAUUUUGUACUCGGUGUCAAAGAAAAGUAGAAGUAAUUCACAAAAAUAUUUGCAAAGUAGGUAAGUUCAAGUCAUAAUAUUUCUGGCUUAGUUUCAAGACCAAUAACAUAUAUUGCCAGUCUUUAGUUGCAUGUUUCUUGUUAACUGUGUUACCAUUCAGAGCUAAUUUCCUAUUAGUGGAUUGGAGAAGUUUGAUAUUGAUUUUUAGUUUUUGAGGGUUGUCAUUUAUUAUCUAUUUCAAUGGCAGUAGAGAAAUGUUUAAAAUAGAAAUAGUAGGGGAGACAGGAAGUAAUAACCUGUUUUUUAAGAAGUUGAACCUUAAAAGUAAAAUCUUCAGUACACUCUAGCCUAUAACAUAGCACUAGGAAAUAGUGAUGCCAGAUUAACCACAAUCAUAAGGAUCACUAUACCACCUUGGCCAACAGUCACCACCGCACUCCUGCCCUUUUCCAUAGAUGAAAUCAGUCUGUAUUGCCCUUUGUCAGUCUUGUUGUGCAUGCAUGCACGUCAUUCUACUUGGGUAUGCUGAAAUAUUAUAUCUUAAUAGAACAUCUUUUUUCAUCCCAUCUUAGUAGAUCAUAUUUUAAUAUAAAUUUGCCAUUUUAGAAUUUGACAGGUUUUGAUUGCUAAUAUGGAAGAAUAUGACCCAUACUCCAUCCCCUACUGUAGAUUUUGUUUCCUGAACUUAAAACAGUCUGGUUAAGAGGCCCAGGGAAUGUACUUGAGGAAGAUCAAGGAGAAUAAUAUCUGUAAUCGCCAUCUCAUUAGGUCUUUAACAGUGCCAUCAUAUAUGGAUUAGUCUUGUUUUGAGGCUUUCCUAGAUUCAAGUUCUUUGAUUGAGUGGAUUGUCUGUUCACUUCACCUGCACAAGAAGAAAACUUGUUUUGCUGAUGGUGUCCCUUUAAAUCACCUGGUAAAGAAUUCUUAGACACUUGAUGUAGUCUCAGGUCGUGGUAUUCUAGUGUGUUGAUUUAGUCCCAAAUAUCAAUUUUCUUAAUUUUAUAUUGUCUCUCAAUUGGAAUGAAUUACAGGAUGUGUCAUCACAUAUGGUAUGGACUAGCCUUGUUUUGAGGCUUUUGUAGAAUGAGAGUUAUUGAAUUGAGAAAUCACAAUUAUAGCCAUAGUUAUUAAAUCCUGUCAUCACAAUAAUAGCCAGGUUUAUAAUUGCCAUCAUAUAUGGAUUAGCCUUGUUUUGAGGUUUUCCUACAUUGAGUGUACUGUGUGUCUACUUCACUUGCACAAAAAGAAAUCUUGCAUAAUGUAGUCCCUUUAGACCAUCUGGUAUAAAUUUCUUGGAUAAUGUAGUCUUGGGUCGUGGUAUUCUAGUGUGUUAACUUAGUCCCAAAAAUCAGUCUCUCUGUUGGGAUGAAUUCCAGAAUAGCCAUUUGGCUACUACCUUUGUCCAUGUUCCCUGCAUUUUUAUUGGUUGUGUAAUAAGUUAACCACAGGUUUGUUGACUACUUAUUUUGAUGUUUGGUCGACUGUUUAGUUAUUCUUUCUUUUGAGAUCUAGUGUUACAAGCCAAUAACAAGUUCACACUAAAGAUCGGUAGAACCGUAGGACUAUUUAUAGUACUUAAGAAGUUGAGAGUGGAAGACUUGGAUUUCAAUUGGUGUAACUUAAUAGAUCUACCUUAACAAGUGAGUGGAGGUGAAUAAUUAAAUAGAAAAACAGAGCUUGUUGGCCUUCAUUGUUGGAUACGUAAUGUUGGUCUUCAUCAUCUCCAUCCUAAUAAUGGCUGUCAUUGUUGGAUACAUAUGUAAAGCGAACAAAUUUUCAAAAGUUAGUGUUUGUUAAAGAAAUGUAGUUUAUUCAUGUGCAGAAUCAAAGAAUUCAUUUGCAGGUAUAUUGUUGUUAGUGAUGGCGCCUUGGAGACCUUAGAGUCCAGAGAAUUGGUAUUGUGAAUGGGAGCUGCAUUUAUAUGAUGCUGCCACCAGAAAGAACCCCCAAAGGGUGAUUUCUUUAUUAUUUAAUGUUUCUCUAUUCAAUUAGGUAGUUUGACAUGUUCAUUUCAACAUAUGCAUCCUAUGAGUGCAGUACGAUCUUAUGUAAUGUUUGUGAAACUUGCAUGAUGAUGCAAAUCAAUUUUAAACUACAGUGAUGCUUGUAUGUUUCAGAUAACUUUUUCUUGGUAAACCUUAUUCUGACAAAAGUUGGAUCUGUUAAUCUUGGGAUCCCCCUUAUUUAGCGUGCUGAAAUUGCACUUGGUAUCCGGCAUUCUUAGCAUGCUGAGAUUGCAAAAAUUAGAAAAUUGGAUUCAUCCACUAUAUUAUUGAAGUUCUCAACAGUAAAUGGAACACAGGAACAAGAUUGAGGUGCACUUUGGGACACUCAUGAUAUUUUCAUCCAUUCUGCCACAUUUGCCAGUGUUUAGUCUCAGACGCAGCUUCAUUAAGCAGCCAGUUUCCCAUCUAACUCAAAACUUUUAAAGGUGUUUUGGUCUUUGAUUUAAUGGAAAUUAUCAUCUCCUACCUCUUACUCUUGAAGAAAAAUUGUUUUCCGUCCCAAUCAACCAUAAUACCUCUGAGAGUUUAUAAAAAAUAGAGGGGUGAUAACAGGAUGUGGCUACAAGAUAAACUUGUGAAAAUUGCCCUCUACAUACUCUGCCUCUCUUUGGGGCUGUUUUAUGAUUAAUGAUUGUCCACCAAGCUGGGAGUAUGGGUUUUACUAUUGAAUAUGAUUCUAGUCCCCUGGUGGAGUUGGUCUCGAAACUUAUAAGCGAGUCUCACCCUCUAUAUACCUUAAUCAAUGGCUGCAGGUCCCUGUUGUCUGCUGAUUGGAAUUGUCAAUUGGUUCAUGUUUAUCAAGAGCCCCAUAUUCUUCAAGAUCCCCAUUGUCUAUCCCAGGGUUACUUGCUGCUGCUUCUGCUGGUGCCUCCCAAGUGUGGAGAUUUAUUUUUAUUUUUAAUUUGUUGUGUUUGGGUCUUUUACCCUCUUUGUAUCAAGAAAGAAAAAUUGAGGUAAAGCCUAUUGACCAAGUUUUGUUUAAUUUUUGAUUGAAACAUUCCAAUUAUUGUUAACUGAAACGUCCUGAAUCUUUUGUAGUUUACUGGUUUAAUAGAAUUGUGAUACAUAUC